GAAAUGCGAUAAGUAGUGUGAAUUGCAGACGCUUUGAACGCCAAAAUUUCGAACGCACAUUGCGCCAUAGGAGUUCUACCCUAUGGCACAUCUGGUUGAGGGUCGUGAUCAAAUACAGCUAGGAUUGGGCUGAAAUAGAUCUAAUUGAUGGAUCAUCAGGUCGGCACAACCUGCUUAGUUGUCGACGGUGUUCUAUCAUCAUGCUUUAGAGGG
RNAcentral lists this unclassified non-coding RNA (213 nucleotides) under uncultured fungus. RNAcentral describes it as "sequence contains ITS1". The stretch from base 1 to 105 matches the Rfam family "5.8S ribosomal RNA", at positions 50 to 154 of the family's 154-position model. Lineage: Eukaryota; Fungi. The record is from RNAcentral.